UACACUCCUGCGGGAGGCAGCAGUGGGGAAUAUUGGACAAUGGGCGAAAGCCUGAUCCAGCAAUGCCGCGUGAGUGAUGAAGGCCUUAGGGUUGUAAAGCUCUUUUACCCGGGAUGAUAAUGACAGUACCGGGAGAAUAAGCCCCGGCUAACUCCGUGCCAGCAGCCGCGGUAAUACGGAGGGGGCUAGCGUUGUUCGGAAUUACUGGGCGUAAAGCGCGCGUAGGCGGCUUUGUAAGUUAGAGGUGAAAGCCCGGAGCUCAACUUCGGAAUUGCCUUUAAGACUGCAUCGCUAGAAUCGUGGAGAGGUGAGUGGAAUUCCGAGUGUAGAGGUGAAAUUCGUAGAUAUUCGGAAGAACACCAGUGGCGAAGGCGACUCACUGGACACGUAUUGACGCUGAGGUGCGAAAGCGUGGGGAGCAAACAGGAUUAGAUACCCGAGUAGUCCCAUGA
Molecule: ribosomal RNA, 452 nt
Filed under: uncultured organism
Description: partial 16S ribosomal RNA
Rfam family: Bacterial small subunit ribosomal RNA
Source: RNAcentral